CGAUAACAAUGUUAACGAAGAAAACAGAUAAUCGGGCUGUAUGUAAAGGAAAGUGUGUAAAAUAGAAAAUGCAAGCGACUUCUAAAAAUAAAAAGAAAGAAAAAGGUAAAGAAAGAAAAGAAAGGAUAUCUAAAUUAGAGCUUUCGUCUUUGAAUUAAACAAUGGAACAAAGGAACUGGGCAUGAGUAUCUUUUAUACCAAUUUCUCAACUCACGGAGCGCUCUAGAGUAUGCUACGAUAAAGAAAAUUUGACAACCAAUCACUACCAAGUAAACAAUGAUCGACAAAUAUGGACACUUUUUGACUCCUUAAUUGGCUAACCUAAUGGCUGG
Schizosaccharomyces pombe (fission yeast) is the source of this 332-nucleotide non-coding RNA. NCBI's taxonomy places the organism in Eukaryota, Fungi, Ascomycota, Schizosaccharomycetes, Schizosaccharomycetales, Schizosaccharomycetaceae. The record is from the annotation of a GenBank genome assembly.